RNAcentral lists this long non-coding RNA (268 nucleotides) under Gossypium barbadense (sea-island cotton). RNAcentral describes it as "long non-coding RNA (GBAR_LNC006415)". Lineage: Eukaryota; Viridiplantae; Streptophyta; Magnoliopsida; Malvales; Malvaceae. The record is from RNAcentral.
GCCAAAAGUGAUGAAUUCAUUUUUCUUGGAUAUUCCACUAGUUAUAAAACUUAUAGUGUUUAACGAAAGAACCCUAGUAGUAGAGAAGUCUAUAUAUGUCAUAUUUUAUUACUCUAACUCUCUUUCUAGAAAGGAUUUUACUACUCUUGAUUGUGUAAAAAUUUAUCAAGUUGAUCCUCGUAGAGCAUCACAUGAAGAACAAGAAUUAGCUGAGAUAGUUCAAGAACUCAAACUUAAUGACUUUCAAGAACCAAUUCAAGUGGAUAAG